UAAAAUUUCACAUAAAAUGUAGUUUUUGGUUAUUUACAGCCUGUGCUUAGACAAAUGACUUAUCUUUUCUGUGUGUCAGUAUAUAUUUUUUUAUUUUUUGUACGUGUUAAACGGAGGUGAUUUUGCUCAAGCUCAUGAGGCAGGUUGUGAGGACCAAAUAGAACAGCUGCUGGCCUCUCACAAGCCUGUAGUGAUGGUACAGUGUGAUAGUUAUUACGACACAGCAGUCUCACGUGAUGGCCUGUUUCCUUCAGGCUGGGAAGCUGCCAGAGCAGAGCCUGCGUGGGAUUCCUCUCUGGUUCCUAGCACAAUGCUUACUGUUUGCUAGGCAGUCAUGACGUUGGGUGAGUGAGUGAGAAGCUGAGGAAAGGCACGGCAAAUUCCAGCUGGGUUGCUGAGAGAGAAUCAGGUUUAUCGACGAGGAGGUCUAAUCCCAAAGAUUCAAGUAAUGGACUGUGCUGAAUUAUGGGACCUGACGACCUGGUAGUAUUCCAAGCCUGUUGCAGGGUCCUGAUGUCCUUUGCCCUGACGGGCUUGAAUCUUUGACUCUACACACCUCUCCAGUUGCUGUGGCAGAAAUUUGCUUUCAUGCAGGGUCAAGCGAGCAGAGGUGCCACUCCAUGAU
This is a long non-coding RNA of Meriones unguiculatus (Mongolian gerbil), 625 nucleotides long. RefSeq lists it as uncharacterized. NCBI's taxonomy places the organism in Eukaryota, Metazoa, Chordata, Mammalia, Rodentia, Muridae. The record is from RefSeq and is a predicted model, not a curated record. The transcript has 3 exons.